GACGAACGCUGGCGGCGUGCUUAACACAUGCAAGUCGAGCGGUAAGGCCCUUUCGGGGGUACACGAGCGGCGAACGGGUGAGUAACACGUGGGUGACCUGCCCUCAGCUCUGGGAUAAGCCCGGGAAACUGGGUCUAAUACCGGAUAUGACUCCAUGACGCAUGUUGUGGGGUGGAAAGCCUUGUGGGGCUGAGGAUGGGCCCGCGGCCUAUCAGCUUGUUGGUGGGGUGAUGGCCUACCAAGGCGACGACGGGUAGCCGGCCUGAGAGGGCGACCGGCCACACUGGGACUGAGAUACGGCCCAGACUCCUACGGGAGGCAGCAGUGGGGAAUCUUGCGCAAUGGGCGAAAGCCUGACGCAGCGACGCCGCGUGAGGGAUGACGGCCU
This 388-nucleotide ribosomal RNA is filed under the name uncultured bacterium. RNAcentral's name for it is "bacterial SSU rRNA". It matches the Rfam family "Bacterial small subunit ribosomal RNA", at positions 28 to 417 of the family's 1533-position model. The record is from RNAcentral.